UACGUAGGGGGCAAGCGUUGUCCGGAUUCAUUGGGCGUAAAGAGCUCGUAGGCGGUUCGGUAAGUCGGGUGUGAAAUCUCCGUGCUCAACACGGAGCGGCCACCUGAUACUGCCGUGACUCGAGUCCGGUAGGGGAGUGUGGAAUUCCCGGUGUAGCGGUGAAAUGCGUAGAUAUCCGAAGGAACAUCAGUGGCGAAAGCGGCUUCCUGGACCAGAACUGACGAUCAGGCACGAAAGCGUGGGGAGCAAACAGG
Molecule: ribosomal RNA, 254 nt
Filed under: uncultured bacterium
Lineage: Bacteria
Description: partial 16S ribosomal RNA
Rfam family: Bacterial small subunit ribosomal RNA
Source: RNAcentral